RNAcentral lists this ribosomal RNA (263 nucleotides) under Staphylococcus aureus. RNAcentral's name for it is "partial 23S ribosomal RNA". It matches the Rfam family "Bacterial large subunit ribosomal RNA", at positions 1 to 260 of the family's 2925-position model. Lineage: Bacteria; Bacillati; Bacillota; Bacilli; Caryophanales; Staphylococcaceae. The record is from RNAcentral.
AGAUUAAGUUAUUAAGGGCGCACGGUGGAUGCCUUGGCACUAGAAGCCGAUGAAGGACGUUACUAACAACGAUAUGCUUUGGGGAGCUGUAAGUAAGCUUUGAUCCAGAGAUUUCCGAAUGGGGAAACCCAGCAUGAGUUAUGUCAUGUUAUCGAUAUGUGAAUACAUAGCAUAUCAGAAGGCACACCCGGAGAACUGAAACAUCUUAGUACCCGGAGGAAGAGAAAGAAAAUUCGAUUCCCUUAGUAGCGGCGAGCGAAACG